CGCGUAGGUGGGUUGGUAAGUCGGAUGUGAAAUCACUGGGCUUAACCCGGUAACUGCAUCCGAAACUGCCGGUCUUGAGUGCAGAAGAGGAGAGCGGAAUUCCCAGUGUAGCGGUGAAAUGCGUAGAUAUUGGGAGGAACACCAGUGGCGAAGGCGGCUCUCUGGUCUGCAACUGACACUGAAGCGCGAAAGCUAGGGGAGCAAACGGGAUUAGAUACCCCGGUAGUCCUAGCCGUAAACGAUGAGCACUAGGUGUAGGAGGUAUCGACCCCUCCUGUGCCGCAGCUAACGCAUUAAGUGCUCCGCCUGGGGACUACGGCCGCAAGGUUGAA
This 332-nucleotide ribosomal RNA is filed under the name uncultured bacterium. RNAcentral describes it as "bacterial SSU rRNA". It matches the Rfam family "Bacterial small subunit ribosomal RNA", at positions 568 to 898 of the family's 1533-position model. The record is from RNAcentral.